ACGAACGCUGGCGGCAGGCCUAACACAUGCAAGUCGAGCGAGGACUUCGGUUCUAGCGGCGGACGGGUGAGUAACGCGUGGGAAUGUGCCCUUCUCUACGGAAUAGCCCUGGGAAACUGGGAGUAAUACCGUAUACGCCCUAUUGGGGAAAGAUUUAUCGGAGAAGGAUCAGCCCGCGUUGGAUUAGGUAGUUGGUGGGGUAAUGGCCUACCAAGCCGACGAUCCAUAGCUGGUUUGAGAGGAUGAUCAGCCACACUGGGACUGAGACACGGCCCAGACUCCUACGGGAGGCAGCAGUGGGGAAUCUUAGACAAUGGGGGCAACCCUGAUCUAGCCAUGUCGCGUGAGUGAUGAAGGCCUUAGGGUUGUAAAGCUCUUUCAGCUGGGAAGAUAAUGACGGUACCAGCAGAAGAAGCCCCGGCUAACUCCGUG
This 432-nucleotide ribosomal RNA is filed under the name uncultured bacterium. RNAcentral's name for it is "partial 16S ribosomal RNA". It matches the Rfam family "Bacterial small subunit ribosomal RNA", at positions 29 to 507 of the family's 1533-position model. The record is from RNAcentral.